GUCCAGCCUGCCCAGUGAAUUAAUUUAACGGCCGCGGUAUCCUAACCGUGCGAAGGUAGCGUAAUCACUUGUUCUUUAAAUGAGGACUAGUAUGAAUGGCACCACGAAGGUUAUACUGUCUCCCUUUUUUGAUCAGUUAAACUAAUCUUCACGUGAAGAAGCGUGAAUAAAUAUAUAAGACGAGAAGACCCUAUGGAGCUUGAAAUUACGCAACAAUUGCUAUUAAUUUUAAAUUUUAUGAAUUAUUUUUUUACUAAACACUAUGAUUGCUAAUUUUUGGUUGGGGUGACCGCGGAGUAAAAAUUAACCUCCACAAUGAAAGAAUCAAUAUUCUAAGCUAAGAGCUACAACUCAAAGUAUUAAUAUUUUAACAUUCCUUGAUCCAAUUUUUUGAUCAACGAACAAAGUUACCCUAGGGAUAACAGCGCAAUCUACUUUGAGAGCUCCUAUCGACAAGUAGGUUUACGACCUCGAUGUUGGAUCAGGGUAUCCCAGUGGUGCAGCCGCUACUAAUGGUUCGUUUGUUCAACGAUUAAAACCCU
RNAcentral lists this ribosomal RNA (542 nucleotides) under Engystomops petersi group sp. ABGD cluster 1. RNAcentral's name for it is "partial large subunit ribosomal RNA". It matches the Rfam family "Bacterial large subunit ribosomal RNA", at positions 1852 to 2597 of the family's 2925-position model. Lineage: Eukaryota; Metazoa; Chordata; Amphibia; Anura; Leptodactylidae. The record is from RNAcentral.